Molecule: ribosomal RNA, 497 nt
Filed under: uncultured bacterium
Lineage: Bacteria
Description: partial 16S ribosomal RNA
Rfam family: Bacterial small subunit ribosomal RNA
Source: RNAcentral
GAUGAACGCUGGCGGCGUGCCUAAUACAUGCAAGUCGAGCGAACAGAGGAGGAGCUUGUUCCAAUGACGUUAGCGGCGGACGGGUGAGUAACACGUGGAUAACCUACCUUUAAGACGGGGAUAACUUCGGGAAACGGGAGCUAAUACCGGAUAAAAAAUUUAAACGCAUGGUUUAAUAUUGAAAGAUGGUAUUGCAUCAAUUAAUAAUUAGCUCCGCGCCGCAUUAGCUAGUUGGUAAGGUAACGGCUUACCAAGGCAACGAUGCGUAGCCGACCUGAGAGGGUGAUCGGCCACACUGGAACUGAGACACGGUCCAGACUCCUACGGGAGGCAGCAGUAGGGAAUCUUCCGCAAUGGGCGAAAGCCUGACGGAGCAACGCCGCGUGAGUGAUGAAGGUCUUCGGAUCGUAAAACUCUGUUAUUAGGGAAGAACAAAUGUGUAAGUAACUAUGCACGUCUUGACGGUACCUAAUCAGAAAGCCACGGCUAACUACGUG